UCCAGGAAGGCAUCAAGCGACUCACCUGC
This 29-nucleotide non-coding RNA is filed under the name Bombyx mori (domestic silkworm). The record is from RNAcentral. Lineage: Eukaryota; Metazoa; Arthropoda; Insecta; Lepidoptera; Bombycidae.